UACAGAGGGUGCAAGCGUUAAUCGGAAUUACUGGGCGUAAAGCGUGCGUAGACGGUUAUGUAAGUCGGGUGUGAAAGCCCCGGGCUCAACCUGGGAAUUGCAUUCGAGACUGCAUAGCUAGGGUGCGGAAGAGGGAAGCGGAAUUUCCGGUGUAGCGGUGAAAUGCGUAGAUAUCGGAAGGAACACCAGUGGCGAAAGCGGCUUCCUGGUCCAGCACCGACGUUCAGGCACGAAAGCGUGGGGAGCAAGCAGG
RNAcentral lists this ribosomal RNA (253 nucleotides) under uncultured bacterium. Its description in RNAcentral is "partial 16S ribosomal RNA". It matches the Rfam family "Bacterial small subunit ribosomal RNA", at positions 524 to 776 of the family's 1533-position model. The record is from RNAcentral.